GACGAACGCUGGCGGCGUGCCUAAUACAUGCAAGUUGAGCGCUGAAGGUUGGUACUUGUACCAACUGGAUGAGCAGCGAACGGGUGAGUAACGCGUGGGGAAUCUGCCUUUGAGCGGGGGACAACAUUUGGAAACGAAUGCUAAUACCGCAUAAAAACUUUAAACACAAGUUUUAAGUUUGAAAGAUGCAAUUGCAUCACUCAAAGAUGAUCCCGCGUUGUAUUAGCUAGUUGGUGAGGUAAAGGCUCACCAAGGCGAUGAUACAUAGCCGACCUGAGAGGGUGAUCGGCCGCAUUGGGACUGAGACACGGCCCAAACUCCUACGGGAGGCAGCAGUAGGGAAUCGUCGGCAAUGGACGAAAGUCUGACCGAGCAACGCCGCGUGAGUGAAGAAGGUUUUCGGAUCGUAAAACUCUGUUGGUAGAGAAGAACGUUGGUGAGAGUGGAAAGCUCAUCAAGUGACGGUAACUACCCAGAAAGGGACGGCUAACUACGUG
This 497-nucleotide ribosomal RNA is filed under the name uncultured bacterium. RNAcentral's name for it is "partial 16S ribosomal RNA". It matches the Rfam family "Bacterial small subunit ribosomal RNA", at positions 28 to 507 of the family's 1533-position model. The record is from RNAcentral.